CUCUAUCUCGAUCCCAAAGCUCUCGGAACUUGCUCGAGUACCGCCGUAACCCCUCGAUCUCUCCGUGAAACAUUCGCACUUGGCAAUGGCACUGGUUAAGCAUGAACAUUAACAUUGAGUCAGUCAAAAGCCUGAGAUUGGACUCGAAACAGACAGCAGAACGUGAGAAUUAACUCAGAACCGGAGACAGCCGACAUAUGUCGGCCGAUAAAGAUGUCGGCGAUCUAUCUGGUAGGCCAGUGCACACGCAGUACUUGGAGUGCUUAUCGCCAAGAUAAACCCAGCAUAAAGGGGCAGUUCUAUUUCGGUUUAGUCUACACUUCCAACAGAGGCUACUAUAGCUUGGGGCGAGUUAACCCUUUAGUGCCUGUUUGCAGUUCAAAAGUGGGACAACAAGAAAUUACAUUCGUAGCGGCAGUUUUCAGGCAAAGGACGGAUUUUGAAGGACUAAACCUACUUGGAACUUGAUGGCACUUACGUUCUCUGCUGUCGACAUGGCUGAAAGCGAAAUAUCCAGGAUAAACGC
This is a long non-coding RNA of Drosophila ficusphila, 526 nucleotides long. RefSeq lists it as uncharacterized. NCBI's taxonomy places the organism in Eukaryota, Metazoa, Arthropoda, Insecta, Diptera, Drosophilidae. The transcript has 3 exons. The record is from RefSeq and is a predicted model, not a curated record.